Molecule: ribosomal RNA, 500 nt
Filed under: uncultured cyanobacterium
Lineage: Bacteria; Bacillati; Cyanobacteriota
Description: bacterial SSU rRNA
Rfam family: Bacterial small subunit ribosomal RNA
Source: RNAcentral
GUGACGGGUGAGUAACGCGUGAGAAUCUGCCAUCAGGUCUGGGACAACCACUGGAAACGGUGGCUAAUACUGGAUGUGCCCUUCGGGGUGAAAGGUUAACUGCCUGUUGAUGAGCUCGCGUCUGAUUAGCUAGUAGGUGUGGUAAAGGCGCACCUAGGCGACGAUCAGUAGCUGGUCUGAGAGGACGAUCAGCCACACUGGGACUGAGACACGGCCCAGACUCCUACGGGAGGCAGCAGUGGGGAAUUUUCCGCAAUGGGCGAAAGCCUGACGGAGCAAUACCGCGUGAGGGAGGAAGGCUCUUGGGUCGUAAACCUCUUUUCUCAGGGAAGAACACAAUGACGGUACCUGAGGAAUAAGCAUCGGCUAACUCCGUGCCAGCAGCCGCGGUAAUACGGAGGAUGCAAGCGUUAUCCGGAAUGAUUGGGCGUAAAGCGUCCGCAGGUGGCGAUGUAAGUCUGCUGUUAAAGAGUCUAGCUCAACUAGAUAAGAGCAGUGGA